This 1379-nucleotide ribosomal RNA is filed under the name uncultured fungus. Its description in RNAcentral is "eukaryotic LSU rRNA". The stretch from base 694 to 1379 matches the Rfam family "Eukaryotic large subunit ribosomal RNA", at positions 1 to 667 of the family's 3401-position model. Lineage: Eukaryota; Fungi. The record is from RNAcentral.
CUUGGUCAUUUAGAGGAAGUAAAAGUCGUAACAAGGUUUCCGUAGGUGAACCUGCGGAAGGAUCAUUAUUGAAUAAACUUGGGAUAGGCUGCUGCUGGCCCUUCUGGGCAUAUGUGCAUACCUAUUCUGACUUUAUAACCACCUGUGCACUUUGUGUAGAUCUGAACAACUUUCGAGGUAAAAACUCGGUUUAAAGGAUUGCCGUGCGCGCCAUGCCGGCUUUCCUUCAUAUUUCAGAUCUAUGUUUUACUAUACUCCGCAUUUAAGUACUUGAAUGACAUAAUUAGGCAUUAUGAUUUGCCUGUAAAAACAAUAUACAACUUUCAACAACGGAUCUCUUGGCUCUCGCAUCGAUGAAGAACGCAGCGAAAUGCGAUAAGUAAUGUGAAUUGCAGAAUUCAGUGAAUCAUCGAAUCUUUGAACGCACCUUGCGCUCCUUGGUAUUCCGAGGAGCAUGCCUGUUUGAGUGUCGUGAAAUUCUCAACCAUUCAAGCUUUUUUGAAGCUAGUUUGGCUUGGAUCUUGGGAGUUUGCUGGUUCUAAUGGAUCGGCUCUCCUUAAAUGUAUUAGCAAGAUUAGUCACUGAAUUGUCGUUGAUAUGAUAAUUAUCUAUAUCAUUGAUAAAAACAGUGCUUUCCUUCGUGGAAAGAUCUGGCUUUCUAACUGUCUGUUAAAGACAAUUUAACGAAUCAUUUGACCUCAGAUCAGGUAGGACUACCCGCUGAACUUAAGCAUAUCAAUAAGCGGAGGAAAAGAAACUAACAAGGAUUCCCCUAGUAACUGCGAGUGAAGCGGGAAAAGCUCAAAUUUAAAAUCUGGUGGUCUUUGACUACUCGAGUUGUAACCUAAAGAAGCGUUAUCCGCGCUGGACCGUGUACAAGUCUCCUGGAAUGGAGCGUCAUAGAGGGUGAGAAUCCCGUCUUUGACACGGACUACCAGGGCUUUGUGUUGCGCUCUCGAAGAGUCGAGUUGUUUGGGAAUGCAGCUCUAAAUGGGUGGUAAGUUCCAUCUAAAGCUAAAUAUUGGCGAGAGACCGAUAGCGAACAAGUACCGUGAGGGAAAGAUGAAAAGAACUUUGGAAAGAGAGUUAAACAGUACGUGAAAUUGUUGAAAGGGAAACGCUUGAAGUCAGUCGCAUUGACUGGGGAUCAACCUUGCUUUUUUGCUUGGUGCACUUCCUGGUUAAAUGGGUCAGCAUCAAUUUUGACUAGUGGAAAAAGUUCAAGGGAAUGUGGCAUCUUCGGAUGUGUUAUAGCCUUAGUUCGUAUACAUUAGUUGGGAUUGAGGAACUCAGCACGCCGCAAGGCCGGGUUUUUAACCACGUUCGUGCUUAGGAUGCUGGCAUAAUGGCUUUAAUCGACCCGUCUUGAAACACGGACC